AUGAACGCUAGCGGCAGGCUUAACACAUGCAAGUCGAACGGUAACAUGAGUAGCAAUACUUGAUGACGAGUGGCGCACGGGUGCGUAACGCGUAUGCAACUUACCUCUAACUGGAAGAUACCCUUCCGAAAGAAAGAAUAAUACUCCAUUAUAUUUCGAUAUGGCAUCACAUUAUUCUUAAAGCUUCGGCAAUUAGAGAUAGACAUGCAUCUGAUUAGCUUGUUAAUAAAAUAAUAACUCACCAAGGCAACAAUCAAUAAAAAGCCUAAAAGGAUUAUCCCCCACACUGAUACUGAAACACGAACCAGACUCCUACGGAAGACAGCAGUGAGGAAUAUUAAUCAAUGGACGCAAGUCUGAACCAGCCAUGCCGCAUGCAGAAUGAAUGCCCUAUGGGUUGUAAACUGCUUUUAUAUAGGAAUAAACCUCCCGACGUGUCGGGAGCUGAAGGUACUAUAAGAAUAAGGACCGGCUAACUCCGU
RNAcentral lists this ribosomal RNA (482 nucleotides) under uncultured bacterium. Its description in RNAcentral is "bacterial SSU rRNA". It matches the Rfam family "Bacterial small subunit ribosomal RNA", at positions 30 to 506 of the family's 1533-position model. The record is from RNAcentral.